Molecule: ribosomal RNA, 1452 nt
Filed under: uncultured organism
Description: 16S ribosomal RNA
Rfam family: Bacterial small subunit ribosomal RNA
Source: RNAcentral
CAGAUUGAACGCUGGCGGCAGGCCUAACACAUGCAAGUCGAGCGGUAGCACAGAGAGCUUGCUCUCGGGUGACGAGCGGCGGACGGGUGGGUAAUGUCUGGGAAACUGCCUGAUGGAGGGGGAUAACUACUGGAAACGGUAGCUAAUACCGCAUAAUGUCGCAAGACCAAAGUGGGGGACCUUCGGGCCUCAUGCCAUCAGAUGUGCCCAGAUGGGAUUAGCUAGUAGGUGGGGUAACGGCUCACCUAGGCGACGAUCCCUAGCUGGUCUGAGAGGAUGACCAGCCACACUGGAACUGAGACACGGUCCAGACUCCUACGGGAGGCAGCAGUGGGGAAUAUUGCACAAUGGGCGCAAGCCUGAUGCAGCCAUGCCGCGUGUGUGAAGAAGGCCUUCGGGUUGUAAAGCACUUUCAGCGGGGAGGAAGGCGUUAAGGUUAAUAACCUUGGCGAUUGACGUUACCCGCAGAAGAAGCACCGGCUAACUCCGUGCCAGCAGCCGCGGUAAUACGGAGGGUGCAAGCGUUAAUCGGAAUUACUGGGCGUAAAGCGCACGCAGGCGGUCUGUCAAGUCGGAUGUGAAAUCCCCGGGCUCAACCUGGGAACUGCAUUCGAAACUGGCAGGCUAGAGUCUUGUAGAGGGGGGUAGAAUUCCAGGUGUAGCGGUGAAAUGCGUAGAGAUCUGGAGGAAUACCGGUGGCGAAGGCGGCCCCCUGGACAAAGACUGACGCUCAGGUGCGAAAGCGUGGGGAGCAAACAGGAUUAGAUACCCUGGUAGUCCACGCCGUAAACGAUGUCGAUUUGGAGGUUGUGCCCUUGAGGCGUGGCCUCCGGAGCUAACGCGUUAAAUCGACCGCCUGGGGAGUACGGCCGCAAGGUUAAAACUCAAAUGAAUUGACGGGGGCCCGCACAAGCGGUGGAGCAUGUGGUUUAAUUCGAUGCAACGCGAAGAACCUUACCUGGUCUUGACAUCCACAGAACUUUCCAGAGAUGGAUUGGUGCCUUCGGGAACUGUGAGACAGGUGCUGCAUGGCUGUCGUCAGCUCGUGUUGUGAAAUGUUGGGUUAAGUCCCGCAACGAGCGCAACCCUUAUCCUUUGUUGCCAGCGGUUCGGCCGGGAACUCAAAGGAGACUGCCAGUGAUAAACUGGAGGAAGGUGGGGAUGACGUCAAGUCAUCAUGGCCCUUACGACCAGGGCUACACACGUGCUACAAUGGCAUAUACAAAGAGAAGCGACCUCGCGAGAGCAAGCGGACCUCAUAAAGUAUGUCGUAGUCCGGAUUGGAGUCUGCAACUCGACUCCAUGAAGUCGGAAUGGCUAGUAAUCGUAGAUCAGAAUGCUACGGUGAAUACGUUCCCGGGCCUUGUACACACCGCCCGUCACACCAUGGGAGUGGGUUGCAAAAGAAGUAGGUAGCUUAACCUUCGGGAGGGCGCUUACCACUUUGUGAUU